GAUGAACGCUGGCGGCGUGCCUAAUACAUGCAAGUCGAGCGAACGGACGAGAAGCUUUCUUCUCUGAGGUUCGCGGCGGACGGGUGAGUAACACGUGGGGAACCUACCUAUAAGACUGGGAUAACUUCGGGAAACCGGAGCUAAUACCCGCUGAUCUUUUGAACCGCAUGGUUCAAAAGUGAAAGACGGUCUUGCUGUCACUUAUCGAUGGAUCCGUGCUGCAUUAGCUAGUUGGUAAGGUAGCGGCUUACCAAGGCCACGAUGCAUAGCCGACCUGAGAGGGUGAUCGGCCACACUGGAACUGAGACACGGUCCAGACUCCUACGGGAGGCAGCAGUAGGGAAUCUUCCGCAAUGGGCGAAAGCCUGACGGAGCAACGCCGCGUGAGUGAUGAAGGUCUUCGGAUCGUAAAACUCUGUUAUUAGGGAAGAACAUAUGUGUAAGUAACUGUGCACAUCUUGACGGUACCUAAUCAGAAAGCCACGGCUAACUACGUG
Molecule: ribosomal RNA, 497 nt
Filed under: uncultured bacterium
Lineage: Bacteria
Description: partial 16S ribosomal RNA
Rfam family: Bacterial small subunit ribosomal RNA
Source: RNAcentral